GUUUAGUGUUGAUAACGCAGCUGUGUGUAAAGGUUUAGUGUUGAUAAUGCAGCUGUGUGUAAAGGUUUAGUGUUGAUAACGCAGCUGUGUGUAAAGGUUUAGUGUUGAUAAUGCAGCUGUGUGUAAAGGUUUAGUGUUGAUAAUGCAGCUGUGUGUAAAGUUUUAGUGUUGAUAAUGCAGCUGUGUGUAAAGUUUUAGUGUUGAUAAUGCAGCUGUGUGUAAAGUUUUAGUGUUGAUAAUGCAGCUGUGUGUAAAGUUUUAGUGUUGAUAAUGCAGCUGUGUGUAAAGUUUUAGUGUUGAUAAUGCAGCUGUGUGUAAAGAUUUAGUGUUGGUAAUGCAGCUGUGUGUAAAGUUUUAGUGUUGAUAAUGCAGCUGUGUGUAAAGUUUUAGUGUUGAUAAUGCAGCUGUGUGUAAAGUUUUAGUGUUGAUAAUGCAGCUGUGUGUAAAGGUUUAGUGAUUAUAAUGCGGCUGUGU
Molecule: long non-coding RNA, 474 nt
Organism: Astyanax mexicanus (Mexican tetra)
Lineage: Eukaryota; Metazoa; Chordata; Actinopteri; Characiformes; Acestrorhamphidae
Exons: 4
Source: RefSeq, a predicted model, not a curated record